This 654-nucleotide long non-coding RNA is filed under the name Manacus vitellinus (golden-collared manakin). Its description in RNAcentral is "lncRNA (ENSMVIG00005018170.1)". The record is from RNAcentral. Lineage: Eukaryota; Metazoa; Chordata; Aves; Passeriformes; Pipridae.
AUUUCAGAAGAGAACAUCCAGAGCACGCGGGUCCAGGUAUAUCCUGGGAAAUGGCACGGCACUGCCAGAAGAUGCACCUGCUUUUGCAGAAAAUUGUAGAUGUGCCCUUUGUCAGCACAAGCACAGCAGAGGCCUGCCUUCCAGGGGUGACAGGCACCCUCAGCCCAGAGCUGAGGGAUUACGUGUUUCAACAGUGUCCUGGUUUCAACAAAUAGCCAGCAAGAACAAGAAGCAAGUUCACUCAAGCACCAGCUGCGAGCCACUCGAUGCACCUUCCCUGCAGCCCCUCUCUCCUGGCCCUGCAGCAGGGCUGCCAGGGCAGCUGCUGCUGCUCACUCAGGGAGUCCCAGACGGCAGAGACUCACAGCUCAUGGACAGAAUGGCUCCACAGAUGACACAUUCCCCCAUGAACAUUUUCGGGAGAUUGGGGUAAUAAGAGAGAUGUGCCAGGGGGCUGGAUGUCACUGUAUCACAGCUCGGUCGUGCUGGAAGACAGUGACUGGUUGGUAACUCAGCCCUUCCCUCCCUGCCAGAAUGACUCAAGACAAAGGCUCCCCCACACUUUAAAUGUCCCCGUUCAGAACUCCUGUUCCACACUAACCAGAUUUCUGUACAAAGGGAUGGUGCAGGGAGGAAAAGGGCAAUCUCAGCCUC